CAUGAAUGAGGUCAAUAUUAAGAUCACUUCUGUUGAAGUGUUAGUAUGAAAAGAACCCGUUAUCUUUUGACAGCAGUGUGUUAGGACUUCUGUUUGCAUGUCAAGUGUUUCUUUAAUGUCCUUCAGGUACACACUCAAGACCUUAAGUUUGAGAGCAAAAAAAUAUCAAAUGUUUGACAUCAUAAAAAAAUUAAAGGGCCUUAUAUUUUAUGUACAACUUUAAUUGUAAUUCUAAAGAAUUUUACAAAACUUGUAUUAGAAUUGAUUAUGGUUUCAUGGUCUGGUGCAGCUGCAUCUUACAUCAAUACCAAA
Molecule: long non-coding RNA, 312 nt
Filed under: Mytilus galloprovincialis (Mediterranean mussel)
Lineage: Eukaryota; Metazoa; Mollusca; Bivalvia; Mytilida; Mytilidae
Source: RNAcentral